UAAGGAAUAUUGGUCAAUGGACGCAAGUCUGAACCAGCCAUGCAGCGUGAAGGAUUAAGGCCCUCUGGGUUGUAAACUUCUUUUAUAGGGGAAGAAAUGUGACGGUUCUCCGUCACUUGACGGUACCCUGGGAAUAAGCACCGGCUAACUCCGUGCCAGCAGCCGCGGUAAUACGGAGGGUGCAAGCGUUAUCCGGAUUCACUGGGUUUAAAGGGUGCGUAGGUGGGCAGAUAAGUCAGUGGUGAAAUCUUCCGGCUUAACCGGGAAACUGCCGUUGAUACUAUUUGGCUUGAAUACUGCGGAGGUAAGCGGAAUAUGUCAUGUAGCGGUGAAAUGCUUAGAUAUGACAUAGAACACCAAUUGCGAAGACAGCUUACUACGCAAUCAUUGACACUGAGGCACGAAAGCCUGGGUAGCGA
RNAcentral lists this ribosomal RNA (419 nucleotides) under uncultured bacterium. RNAcentral describes it as "bacterial SSU rRNA". It matches the Rfam family "Bacterial small subunit ribosomal RNA", at positions 355 to 771 of the family's 1533-position model. The record is from RNAcentral.